GUGCCUUAAACUAAUGAGUAAGGAAAACAAAGCGCACGGUGGGAGCCGCUUGCAGCGCCCAUGAUAACGUGUGCAAUAAUUUAUGGAGGGGUGAUAGGCUGGCCAAGCGCUUUCUUACUUUGUAGAACUUGCUUGUGAAGGCCUCCC
Small nuclear RNA from Corylus avellana, 147 nucleotides. RefSeq annotates it as U12 minor spliceosomal RNA. NCBI's taxonomy places the organism in Eukaryota, Viridiplantae, Streptophyta, Magnoliopsida, Fagales, Betulaceae. The record is from RefSeq and is a predicted model, not a curated record.